This is an RNA transcript of Lates calcarifer (barramundi perch), 3762 nucleotides long. It is a transcript of the gene named polymerase (RNA) III (DNA directed) polypeptide E, with no coding region annotated. The record is from RefSeq and is a predicted model, not a curated record. NCBI's taxonomy places the organism in Eukaryota, Metazoa, Chordata, Actinopteri, Centropomidae. The transcript has 22 exons.
CCGGGCUCCUCCCCACGUGUCUGUGUGGAGCAGAGUCAACAUGGUACCGAUACCAUCAAACCCCACCUGCGUUAGCCAGAGUUAGACUACUGCUCUUCAACACACCGCAUUUCUGGACUGCCCUAACACGGAUGAGAUAGCUAAUAGUGUACAGUGAAGUGUGCAGGUUGGAUCUUUUAGAUCUGCUGCCGCUCCCCUCCUGUUUUAUCUCCUCUCCCUUCCUCGCUUUGCUCACAUCAAUAUGGCCAGCGGGGAUGAUGAUGACCCCAUUAUAGAGGAGAUUGAUGUGUACCUUGCCAAAAGCCUUGCAGAUAAACUGUAUCUUUUCCAGUACCCUGUCCGACCAUCCACCAUGACCUAUGAUGAUGUCGACCACUUAACGGCUAAGAUCAAACCCAAGCAGCAAAGGGUGGAGCUGGAAAUGGCAAUCAACACAAUGAGUCCAAACUACUGUCGCAGUAAGGGAGAGCAAAUAGCUCUGAAUGUGGAUGGCACAGCUUUUGACGAAACCAACACCUACUCAGCGAAAAUGAUGGACAAGCAAACCUUCUCCUCCAUCCAAGCCACCACCAACACCUCCAGAUACGCCGCUGCUGUGUUUCGUAAAGGCGAGCUUCACGUCACACCUCUGACGGGAAUCCUCCAGAUGAGACCCAGCUUCUCUUACCUGGACAAGGCUGACAACAAAACCAGAGAGAGGGAGGCAGCCAAUGAAGGUGGAGACUCCUCUCAGGAUGAAGCUGAGGAAGAAGCCAAGGCCAUCACGGUGAGGUUUGCUCGUCCUGAGUCGGAGCAAGCCCGACAGAGGAGGAUCCAAUCCUAUGAGUUCCUCCAGAGGAAGCAGGCAGAGGAGCCCUGGGUUCACUUGCACUACCACGGUGUCAAGGAUGGUCGCUCAGAGCAUGAAAGGCAGUACCUGUUCUGUCAGUCGGUGGAUGCCUCAGAGAACUCUGAAUUGGUUAAAACUCCUAAGGAGUACCUGGCGAUGCUAAUGCCCCCUCUUGCAGAGGAAAAAGUUGUGAAGCCUGUCGGUCCUAGUAAUGUGCUUUCCAUGGCUCAACUCCGCACUCUGCCGCUGGGAGAACAAGUCAAGACCCUGAUGAAGAAUGUCAAGGUGAUGCCAUUUGCUAACCUGAUGGGCCUCCUCGCCUCUGGCACAGACUCCACCUCAGUCUUGCGCUGCAUCCAGCAGGUGGCGCUGCUGGUUCAGGGGAACUGGGUUGUUAAGAGUGACGUUCUGUAUCCUAAAAACACCUUCAGUCCUCACAGUGGUGUCCCUGCUGAAGUGCUCUGUCGUGGCAGGGACUUUGUGAUGUGGAGGUUCACUCUGGAGCGCUCUGUGAUGAGAAAGGAGAUUGCAUCCAUCAUCAAACUUCCUCCGGAGGAUGUGAAGGAGUUCCUGGAGCAUGUGGCAACACCUCGGAUAAACCGGGGCUGGGAGUUCAUGUUGCCUACUGAUGUAGACUUCAUUAAGAAACACCCAGAUGUUGCCCACAGGCAGCAUAUGCUGUGGCUUGGCAUCCAGAGCAAGUUGGAAAAGGUCUUUAACUUUGUUAAAGAAGACUUCAUGCCAAAGAAUUCCCCUCAGUCUGAACCUGUCCACGUCAGCGGAGAGCAGCGUCUGAAGAUGGCUCAGGAGCGGGCGCAAGAAAACCAGUCGUCCCUACAGAAGGACCUGGACGCCAGAAGGGCAGGAAGCAGCAUCCACAUCAAACAGGAACCCUUAAGCGACAAGGAAUACGAGCCCAUGGACACUUCCUCUCCCCCUUGCUCCUCUUCCAUCCCCAAUGGUUCUGUAAACGGUUACCCUAGUGCCACCUCUCCUGGCUUCGAUCACACUAACGGUAACACACCUUCCCUGGAGUUGCAGGACUUUGUGAUAAAGACUUUCAGGAAGCAUUUUGUACUGACGCUGAAUGAGUUAAAGAGGCUGUUUAACCUCCAUUUGGCUUCCAUGCCGGCGGGACGGAAGGUCUUCCAUUCCAUCUCGGACCACAUGCUUCAGGACGCCAUGCUGCUCUGCAACUGCAAACAGAUAAUGGUGCCUUUUCCUGCUCAGAGCACAGCAGCCCCCGAUGAACAGAAAGUGUUUGGCUUGUGGGAAACUGGAGAGGACUUUGACAAGAAACCACAUGCAGCAUGUUUCAGUGUGGGCCACGAUUGGCUGGUUGUAUCACUGCAGCUCAACAUGGAGAAGAAAACAUCGUCGGCUGCUGUAUGACGUGUUCACCAAGAACUACCGGAUCCGGAGGAACAUCAUACAAACCAGACUGGCACAGGAGUUUGGAGACGCCUCUAAAGCUGACAUCGACCGGCUGCUCAAGGAGUGCUGCAUCAGCCAUGCAGGGAUGUGGUACCUCAAGGGAACGAUACAGUCCUGACACUGAGAUCCUGCCCCCCCUCUGCGGUCACCGUCAGCCAAUCAAAUCCUCUCCCGGGUGUCCAGUGGGAGGGCAGUCAGAGAGGGAUGAGAGAGCCAAUCACAGCUUGCCCAGCUCUGAGGGCGGGCGACUGGAGGACAAAGAUGUAAGUCGUCUGCUCUGCUCAGAACACGCAGCUUUUCUCGUUUCAACCGAAGCAUUUCUGACGUUAACGUGAGCACUCUGAUGCGACGCGAAGGAUACAAACUCCUCACAUACUCACACUGACAGCUGGAGAAUCAGAGGGGAAAAUAAUGAAUAUUUAAAAAAAAUGAAGAAAUAGCAAGAUACAUAUACGGUUUAUCAGCAGAUUUUUGAAUUUAUGACCUCAUGUUUGAUUGAACUUUUACCAGAACAGAGUGGCGUUUACUAUGGAAAGCAACUACGUCUCAGAGUGCUUUCAUUUUACUUAAUUAAAUGUUGCCAGAAAAAAAUGGUUUUACUUUGUUUAAGGCCUUUUGGGUUGAAAACCUUAAACCAUUAACUUCACGGAUUGUGUUAGAUCUGACUUGGUUAAGAAAUAUCAACUGAGAAGAGUAUUUAUUCUAUCCUCAAUACACAAAUGAAAGGGGUGAGCUUUAAGGAUGGAUAAUGUGAUUGUUUAAUUAAACCGUGUGAAAGCACUUGGGGAGAACGCAUGAAUCAACAAACCAGAAACAAAAGGGAAAAAGAAGAUACAAAAAGUCCUUAAAUGUCCUUAUUCUCAUGUUGCAAACUGAAAUCAUUCAAUGUUUUGGCAAUCAUGGACCUGGAAACUGCUACAUCAAAUGUGGCUCUUCCCACGUUUCUGUAUUAUUCAGUCAAAUAUAAAAUUUGGGUGAGCUAAAUGGCUGAUGUUGACAUUAGUUUUUCUUGGUUGAAUGUUCAGAGUUUCAAAUGGUUUUCCUUUUGUGAGAGAAACCAGUGACUGAUUUUGAUGAGAGCCUAUAACGACGUCAUUGGAAAUAAAGUUUUGUCAUGAAUCUGUUGGGAUUUAAUUUGUUGUACAAAGUGGAACAGAUGUGGAUGUGUCUAUGGACUGGACCAUCGUCUGGAUGAUGGGGAAAGUUGUUGCUAUGGAUACGCUGGUGUAUCGCCAUGUGCUGCUAUCUUGAGCCUCCAUCUAAAGUGCCUCUGCCUCACAAGGCAUUCAGGACAAACUCCCACCCACUCAUAUGAUGAAUUACAGGAACAAUGAUGCUUUUAGUUUCCUCUGAAACACUCAAAGAUAUUUAGACCUUAAAUAUGGAUAACAUGUUAUUCAUUUCAGGCUAAAUUUAGAAUUUCCUACAUCAGCAAAUAAUGACAGUUGAUUUUUUUUUCAUUGGUUUGUUACUUUGCUCAAUAAACAUCGUAAUGUCAA